CUAGUAACGGCGAGUGAAGCGGCAACAGCUCAAAUUUGAAAUCUGGCCCCCGGGUCCGAGUUGUAAUUUGUAGAGGAUGCUUUUGGUGCGGUACCUUCCGAGUGCCCUGGAACGGGACGCCAUAGAGGGUGAGAGCCCCGUCUGGUUGGACGCCAAUCCUUUGUAAAGCUCCUUCAACGAGUCGAGUAGUUUGGGAAUGCUGCUCUAAAUGGGAGGUAUAUGUCUUCUAAAGCUAAAUAUUGGCCAGAGACCGAUAGCGCACAAGUAGAGUGAUCGAAAGAUGAAAAGCACUUUGAAAAGAGAGUUAAAAAGUACGUGAAAUUGUUGAAAGGGAAGCGCUCAUGACCAGACUUGGGCUUGGUUGAUCAUCCAGGGUUCUCCCUGGUGCACUCUUCCGGCCCAGGCCAGCAUCAGUUCGCUGUGGGGGAUAAAGGCUUCGGGAAUGUGGCUCCCUCGGGAGUGUUAUAGCCCGUCGUGUAAUACCCUGUGGUGGACUGAGGUUCGCGCAUUCGCAAGGAU
Molecule: ribosomal RNA, 519 nt
Filed under: Neonectria galligena
Lineage: Eukaryota; Fungi; Ascomycota; Sordariomycetes; Hypocreales; Nectriaceae
Description: LSU rRNA
Rfam family: Eukaryotic large subunit ribosomal RNA
Source: RNAcentral